This 499-nucleotide ribosomal RNA is filed under the name uncultured Glomeromycotina. RNAcentral describes it as "partial small subunit ribosomal RNA". It matches the Rfam family "Eukaryotic small subunit ribosomal RNA", at positions 591 to 1092 of the family's 1831-position model. The record is from RNAcentral. Lineage: Eukaryota; Fungi; Glomeromycota.
CCAAUAGCGUAUAUUAAAGUUGUUGCAGUUAAAAAGCUCGUAGUUGAAUUUCGGGAUCAGUACGCCGGUCGUGCCUCCGGUAUGUACUGGUGUCACUGAUUCCUCCCUUCUGAAGAACCAUCAUGCCAUUAAUUUGGUGUGGUGGGGAAUCAGGACUGUUACUUUGAAAAAAUUAGAGUGUUUAAAGCAGGCUCGCGCUUGAAUACAUUAGCAUGGAAUAAUGAAAUAGGACGUUUAUCCUAUUUUGUUGGUUUAUAGGAUUGACGUAAUGAUUAAUAGGGAUAGUUGGGGGCAUUAGUAUUCAAUUGUCAGAGGUGAAAUUCUUGGAUUUAUUGAAGACUAACUACUGCGAAAGCAUUUGCCAAGGAUGUUUUCAUUAAUCAAGAACGAAAGUUAGGGGAUCGAAGACGAUCAGAUACCGUCGUAGUCUUAACCAUAAACUAUGCCGACUAGGGAUCGGAUGAUGUUAAUUUUUUAAUGACUCAUUCGGCGCCUUACG